AAGAACCUGCAUGAGCACUAUGCCAAAAUCCUGUGGGAAACCCUCCCCUUAUCAUAGCAUUCAUUAAGAUACAGUUAAUGUUAUGUGUACUGUACAUGAAGAUUGUUGUCUGAGUGGAGCUUGCUCAGCCACCUUAAUACUAUAGGUUGGGAUAUAUUUGCGGCUGCUUAUUUUCGUGAUGAUAAAAACUAAUAAAAAGGUUCAAUUAAAUUGAGUGAAUUGACCCAUCAUUCUAUUGAUAAAAGUGUCAAGAGGACUUAAGAGAGAAAGAAAGAGAAGAGAGAGCAAGAGUACGGAGAGAGGAGAUCAAGUUAAGAGACCAACUGAUACAUAAUGUGGAGCAAUUAGAGCAAAGAAGAAUAGAACUACAACGAGAAUUGAGACUAAGAAAGAGUUCAUCAUCAUCACUGGAACCAAAAACGAAAAGAAAGAAAAACAAAUAGUAACAAAUUAUAAUUUCAUACUCACUUGUAAAAUAUUAUGUUAAUUACAUGAACAUGAAGUGUAUUUUUGUGACUCGUGAGUCAUGCCAUGUAAAUGCCAUUAUAGGCAUAGAUACUAGAUUGGAGACAAUCUGUGACUACUUUGAUCUUUUAAAUAACAAGUUUCCCAA
This is a long non-coding RNA of Amphimedon queenslandica, 613 nucleotides long. RefSeq lists it as uncharacterized. The record is from RefSeq and is a predicted model, not a curated record. The transcript has 2 exons. Lineage: Eukaryota; Metazoa; Porifera; Demospongiae; Haplosclerida; Niphatidae.